CAAUCAAAACUUUCAACAACGGAUCUCUUGGUUCUGGCAUCGAUGAAGAACGCAGCGAAAUGCGAUAAGUAAUGUGAAUUGCAGAAUUCAGUGAAUCAUCGAAUCUUUGAACGCACAUUGCGCCCCUUGGUAUUCCGGGGGGCAUGCCUGUUCGAGCGUCAUU
This 163-nucleotide ribosomal RNA is filed under the name Polycauliona candelaria. RNAcentral's name for it is "5.8S ribosomal RNA". It matches the Rfam family "5.8S ribosomal RNA". Rfam says of the family: 5.8S ribosomal RNA (5.8S rRNA) is a component of the large subunit of the eukaryotic ribosome. It is transcribed by RNA polymerase I as part of the 45S precursor that also contains 18S and 28S rRNA. The record is from RNAcentral. Lineage: Eukaryota; Fungi; Ascomycota; Lecanoromycetes; Teloschistales; Teloschistaceae.